Callorhinchus milii (elephant shark) is the source of this 73-nucleotide non-coding RNA. The record is from the annotation of a RefSeq genome assembly. NCBI's taxonomy places the organism in Eukaryota, Metazoa, Chordata, Chondrichthyes, Chimaeriformes, Callorhinchidae.
AGUCCUGUAGCUCAGUGGUUAGAGCGCUCGCCUUCCGAGCGAGCGGAUCUGGGUUCGAUUCCCGGCAGGGCAA